CUCAGGCGCGCGGGCGCGCUCUGUUCGUCGGCGCGGCUGACCCGUGGCGGCGGCGCCGUCGCCGAGGACUCUCGGCGGUGACGAUGGUGCUCAUGGCCCUUCAUGUCUCCCACGUGGUCGCUCGGUCGGUCCCUUUUGCCUCCCUGUUGGCGCGGCCCCUGCGUCGUCUUUUUUUUUCUUCUUCGGCCCUCCUUUUGGGCUCUCCUUCUUUUUUUGCGUCCGCCUGUUGGCCGCCAGGCGCGCUGUGCCGCUUGCUUUGUCGGGGCGCUCGGGUUGUCCCUUUUCUUUUUGUGUGCGAUCGAGUCGCUUCCGGUGCGCGGCCUCUUUCGUGCGCGUGCGCGCUUGCCCGGUCCGCCCGGUCUUUUUCUUCCCCCUCUCGGCGCUCUCGGCACGAUCCCCGCUUGUCCUUGGUGCUCUUGAGCCGGGAGGCGUGCGCUCCCCUCCCUUUUUCCCCUCCUCGCGCUCUUGUUUUCCUUUUGGCUCGGCGUGCGCUGCGAGCCCACAGCCGGCCCGUGGGCCUUUUAGGGCGACGGCAUCUCCCACCAGAGGUGCUUCUUUUUCUUUUCUCUCCUCCCCCAUCGACAACAGCCACACCGCACACGGCAACAGCACCGACAACAACCAACGCAGAGCAAGUUUCGCAUGCGACAAAAAAAAAGAGGAAAAAACCGUCUCCCCCUUUGUCUCGCUGUCUCUUUCUUUUUUCCCGUAUUUUUUUAUUUUUUAUUUUUAUUUACCCUCGCGCGGUUUGUGCGGGCGCAAGAGGACCGCACGCAGACGACUUUCUCUCCUCGAUUUUCUCUUUUUUUUUAUCGACCGGAAGAAAAGGCGGCCGCCUACUGGCACCGCGCGUGGUGGCC
Molecule: long non-coding RNA, 860 nt
Filed under: Pandoravirus dulcis
Description: putative ncRNA
Source: RNAcentral